GUGCCAGCCGCCGCGGUAAUACGGAGGGUGCGAGCGUUAAAUCGGAAUUACUGGGCGUAAAGGGCGCGUAGGCGGUCGCGCAAGUCGGGUGUGAAAGCCCCGGGCUCAACCUGGGAAUUGCAUUCGAUACUGCGUUAACUAGAGUCUGGUAGAGGGAAGCGGAAUUCCGCAUGUAGCGGUGAAAUGCGUAGAUAUGCGGAGGAACACCAGUGGCGAAGGCGGCUUCCUGGACCAAGACUGACGCUGAGGCGCGAAAGCGUGGGGAGCAAACAGGAUUAGAUACCCUGGUAGUCCACGCCCUAAACGAUGAGGACUAGACGUUGGGGGGAUAAAACCCUUUAGUGUCGCAGCUAACGCGUGAAGUCCUCCGCCUGGGGAGUACGGCCGCAAGGUUGAAACUUAAAGGAAUUGACGG
RNAcentral lists this ribosomal RNA (415 nucleotides) under uncultured bacterium. Its description in RNAcentral is "bacterial SSU rRNA". It matches the Rfam family "Bacterial small subunit ribosomal RNA", at positions 505 to 916 of the family's 1533-position model. The record is from RNAcentral.